AACGCGAAGAACCUUACCAGGUCUUGACAUCCUCUGACAAUCCUAGAGAUAGGACGUUCCCCUUCGGGGGACAGAGUGACAGGUGGUGCAUGGUUGUCGUCAGCUCGUGUCGUGAGAUGUUGGGUUAAGUCCCGCAACGAGCGCAACCCUUGUCCUUAGUUGCCAGCAUUUAGUUGGGCACUCUAAGGAGACUGCCGGUGACAAACCGGAGGAAGGUGGGGAUGACGUCAAAUCAUCAUGCCCCUUAUGACCUGGGCUACACACGUGCUACAAUGGAUGGUACAAAGGGCUGCGAGACCGCGAGGUUUAGCCAAUCCCAUAAAACCAUUCUCAGUUCGGAUUGUAGGCUGCAACUCGCCUACAUGAAGCCGGAAUCGCUAGUAAUCGUGGAUCAGCAUGCCACGGUGAAUACGUUCCCGGGCCUUGUACACACCGGAGUGC
This 441-nucleotide ribosomal RNA is filed under the name uncultured bacterium. RNAcentral's name for it is "bacterial SSU rRNA". It matches the Rfam family "Bacterial small subunit ribosomal RNA", at positions 958 to 1398 of the family's 1533-position model. The record is from RNAcentral.